Long non-coding RNA from Oreochromis aureus, 1144 nucleotides. Lineage: Eukaryota; Metazoa; Chordata; Actinopteri; Cichliformes; Cichlidae. The record is from Ensembl.
AAACGGCAAUAAAUUACAGGUAGUAAUAAAAUAUACUACUAACUCUUUUACGCUACGUCCACACCUACACGGGUAUUUUUGAAAACGCAGCUGUUUCUAUGCGUUUGGGCCUUUCGUCAACACGUAAACGGUGUUGCGAUUCACCGAAAACAGAGAUUAUUUAAAACUCCUUUUUUAAGUUUAUGUGUGGACGAGGAAUACAGAGUUCGUCACGCAACGUCAAAGGGAGAAGAUAUUCUGCAGGAUCCUGCUGCUCAUCAUCCUCACCUCAUGUGUCUCUGGAUCAUUUGUAGUCAAUGUGACACAGACCUCCUAUCAGGCAGAGGAGAACCACAACAUCACACUGGAGUGGACGUUCACCACCAAACCUGACAGAUCCUCCAAAACUCUCAACAUCCUCUGUGAACUCUUCAUCAGUCAUAAAUCCUCAGUCCUGUAUCAUGUUCAUGAAGGUGUUGAGGUGUCAGAGUCUCAGGAUGCAAAGUUUUCAGGACGAGUCCAGAGUGACAAAGACGCCCUCAGAGAAGGACGAAUCAGACUUCAACUGUCCAGACUCAGGACUGAUGACUCGGGUCUGUACCUGUGUGAGGUCAACACUGAUUAUGGCUUCAGUGUUGGAAGAUGUCGACUUAACGUCACUGCUACUCUUCACCAGCACCACUAAUUUCUGAAUGGGCCUUUGAAUGAUGGAUGUUUGGAUGAGGAGUUUGCCUCAUUUUCCUAACUUCCAUUCUCCAAUCUGCAUUGUCACCUUCCGUAUGAGCCUGUCUUCAUCGUCAUGUGCUUCAACAACUCUGGCAAGUUUCCAUUCAUUCAGGGAAAUCCUCCUCUUUGAAGAUCACAAUAUCACCCCCCUCCACGUUAUGUCCUGCCACAUGCCAUUGCUGUCUCAGAACGAUGUUUGCCACAUAUUCCUUCCUCUAUCUGUGCCAAGAUUGCAGAUAUUGGACCCUUCUCCACCAUUUUUAGCAUACAGAUCCUUCUUGACAAAUUUACCUGGAGGGGAAAAUGGAAAAGAGGAUUUCCUGGUGAUCAAGUGAUUGGUGUGAAUGGCUCCAAACUUUUGGAGUCACCGAUGUUAUUGACAAUGAGUGGGAGGUUAUUCCUAAUGGAGAGAGCUUCAUAAAGGAAAGUCUUUAAAGAG